This 69-nucleotide transfer RNA is filed under the name Ilisha africana (West African ilisha). RNAcentral's name for it is "tRNA-Glu". It matches the Rfam family "tRNA". From Rfam's summary of the family: Transfer RNA (tRNA) molecules are approximately 80 nucleotides in length. Their secondary structure includes four short double-helical elements and three loops (D, anti-codon, and T loops). Further hydrogen bonds mediate the characteristic L-shaped molecular structure. tRNAs have two regions of fundamental functional importance: the anti-codon, which is responsible for specific mRNA codon recognition, and the 3' end, to which the tRNAs corresponding amino acid is attached (by aminoacyl-tRNA synthetases). tRNAs cope with the degeneracy of the genetic code in two manners: having more than one tRNA (with a specific anti-codon) for a particular amino acid; and 'wobble' base-pairing, i.e. permitting non-standard base-pairing at the 3rd anti-codon position. The record is from RNAcentral. Lineage: Eukaryota; Metazoa; Chordata; Actinopteri; Clupeiformes; Pristigasteridae.
GUUUCUAUAGUUGAAUAACAACGAUGGUUUUUCGAGUCAUUGGUUCCGGUUAAAGUCCGGGUGGAAAUU